This 1325-nucleotide long non-coding RNA is filed under the name Callithrix jacchus (white-tufted-ear marmoset). Its description in RNAcentral is "lncRNA (ENSCJAG00000073136.1)". Lineage: Eukaryota; Metazoa; Chordata; Mammalia; Primates; Cebidae. The record is from RNAcentral.
GCCCUGAAAUCACCAAAAUCACCACCAGAGAAGUGGACACACAUUGAUGGAGAGAACCACGGGGUGGGGGUGGUCCCUGCCGGCCGAUGAGGGGCAUCAGAGAGCUGGAUUUGUUCAGUACACGUGUUGGACAACUGUGCAAGCCCUCGGUGGCUGCAGGUGCUUCUGGCUGGUGGCUGCAUCCGUCUGCACUCUGCCUUCAUCGUCCCACGGUUCUUCCUUGUGGGGAUCAGGAUGUCCUCUCCUCUUCUUACAAGGACACCAGUCCUUGAAUUUACAGCCCGGUCCUGAUCGCAUCUGCAAAGACUCAGUUUCCAGUGUGACGCCUUCUUACCAUGACAGAUGUGACGUCCAAUUGUUUUGGGGCAAAAUAAGUGACAGAUAUGCUCUAAUACGUUACUCUGCCAUUCCACUAAUUCGAAUGGUUGUUGAUGAAAGUCCUAUUGCCCAAGAAUGUCCUUCAGUUUCCUCCUGAAGAUCGAGUCUGCCAAAUAAAGUGCAUGCCUUAGACAAACACCACAUGUUCUCACUUAUUUGUGGGAUCUAAACAUCGAGACAGUUGAACUCACGGACAUAGAGAACAGAGGAUGGUUGCCAGAGGCUGGGAAGGUAGUGGGUGUGGAGCAGUGGGAGGUGGGGAUGGUUAACGGGUACAAAAAAAUAGAAAAAUAAAUGAAACCUACUAUUUGAUAGCACGACACGGUGACUACAGUCAAUAAUAAAAUAAUAACUUAAUUGUGCAUUUUAAAAUCACUUAAACAAUGUAACUGGAUUGUUUGUAACUCAAAGGGUAAAUGUUUGCGGGGAUGGACACCCCCUUGGCCCGAUGUGAUUAUUAUGCGUUGCAAGCCUGAAUCACAACGUUUCAUGUACUACGCAAAUACAUAUACCUACUAUGUACCCACAAACAUUAAAAUAAAAAAUUAAAGUGCAUGUGUUUUCUGAAGCUUGAAUACAAUUGAACUAUUAGAAUUUUCCUAAAUUCUAGAAAUCUCUAGAAAUUCUAGAAUCUCUCUCUAAAGAGAUUAGCACAUUUGGCAGAAGAUUAGAUACUAAUAGGUUAUGUUAUGCUUCCUUCAUUAAUGGUUUAGAAUGAGGUGAUUUCCCUGACAGAAUGGAGAAGUCAGAAUAUUCAUGUUUGUACUCAUCUAUUUCACUUGACCUUGGCUGAGUCUUGUUACCUCCUUUUUUUUUUUUUUUUUUUUUUUUGAGGCAGAGUCUUGAUCUGUCACCAGGCAACAGGCUGGAGUGCAGUGGCAUGAUCUUGGCUCACUGCAACCUCUGCAUCCCAGGUUCAAGCAAUUCUCCUGCCUCAGCCUCCUGAG